GAUGAACGCUGGCGGCGUGCCUAAUACAUGCAAGUCGAGCGAACAGACGAGGAGCUUGCUCCUCUGACGUUAGCGGCGGACGGGUGAGUAACACGUGGAUAACCUACCUAUAAGACUGGGAUAACUUCGGGAAACCGGAGCUAAUACCGGAUAAUAUAUUGAACCGCAUGGUUCAAUAGUGAAAGACGGUUUUGCUGUCACUUAUAGAUGGAUCCGCGCCGCAUUAGCUAGUUGGUAAGGUAACGGCUUACCAAGGCAACGAUGCGUAGCCGACCUGAGAGGGGUGACCGCCAAACUGGAACUGAGACACGGUCCAGACUCCUACGGGAGGCAGCAGUAGGGAAUCUUCCGCAAUGGGCGAAAGCCUGACGGAGCAACGCCGCGUGAGUGAUGAAGGUCUUCGGAUCGUAAAACUCUGUUAUUAGGGAAGAACAAAUGUGUAAGUAACUAUGCACGUCUUGACGGUACCUAAUCAGAAAGCCACGGCUAACUACGUG
This 497-nucleotide ribosomal RNA is filed under the name uncultured bacterium. RNAcentral's name for it is "partial 16S ribosomal RNA". It matches the Rfam family "Bacterial small subunit ribosomal RNA", at positions 28 to 507 of the family's 1533-position model. The record is from RNAcentral.